GAGGGUAUAGCUCAGUGGUAGAGCACAUGCUUAGCAUGCACAAGGUCCUGGGUUCGAUCCCCAGACCCUCC
RNAcentral lists this transfer RNA (71 nucleotides) under Camelus bactrianus (Bactrian camel). It matches the Rfam family "tRNA". Rfam says of the family: Transfer RNA (tRNA) molecules are approximately 80 nucleotides in length. Their secondary structure includes four short double-helical elements and three loops (D, anti-codon, and T loops). Further hydrogen bonds mediate the characteristic L-shaped molecular structure. tRNAs have two regions of fundamental functional importance: the anti-codon, which is responsible for specific mRNA codon recognition, and the 3' end, to which the tRNAs corresponding amino acid is attached (by aminoacyl-tRNA synthetases). tRNAs cope with the degeneracy of the genetic code in two manners: having more than one tRNA (with a specific anti-codon) for a particular amino acid; and 'wobble' base-pairing, i.e. permitting non-standard base-pairing at the 3rd anti-codon position. RNAcentral also lists the same sequence under 1 other name. The record is from Rfam by way of RNAcentral. Lineage: Eukaryota; Metazoa; Chordata; Mammalia; Artiodactyla; Camelidae.